UGCUCAGUAACACGUGGACAACCUGCCCUGAGGACUGGAAUAAUCCCGGGAAACUGGGGGUAAUUCCAGAUAUGUCAGAACUCCUGGAAUGGGUUCUGGCAGAAAGGCUCCGGCGCCUCAGGAUGGGUCUGCGGCCUAUCAGGGUAGUAGUGGGUGUAACGUACCUACUAGCCUACGACGGGUACGGGUUGUGAGAGCAAGAGCCCGGAGAUGGAUUCUGAGACAUGAAUCCAGGCCCUACGGGGUGCAGCAGGCGCGAAAACUUUACAAUGCGGGCAACCGCGAUAAGGGGACCUCGAGUGCUGGGUUACAAACCUGGCUGUUGGGCUGCCUAAAAAGCAGUCUAUAGCAAGGGCCGGGCAAGACCGGUGCCAGCCGCCGCGGUAACACCGGCGGCUCGAGUGGUAACCGCUGUUAUUGGGUCUAAAGGGUCUGUAGCCUGCCGGCUAA
This 450-nucleotide ribosomal RNA is filed under the name uncultured Methanosaeta sp. RNAcentral describes it as "bacterial SSU rRNA". It matches the Rfam family "Archaeal small subunit ribosomal RNA", at positions 87 to 536 of the family's 1478-position model. The record is from RNAcentral. Lineage: Archaea; Methanobacteriati; Methanobacteriota; Methanomicrobia; Methanotrichales; Methanotrichaceae.